This 2907-nucleotide ribosomal RNA is filed under the name Salmonella sp. FORC89. Its description in RNAcentral is "23S ribosomal RNA". Lineage: Bacteria; Pseudomonadati; Pseudomonadota; Gammaproteobacteria; Enterobacterales; Enterobacteriaceae. The record is from RNAcentral.
CUCAAAAGGCUGUAUAUUUUACGCACGGAUUCGCUGGAAACGAUGUCGCGGCUGAUCAGCAACCAGCCGCAGGGAUAAGGACUAUCAGGCAACCUGUACCGGAAUAGCUUUCGCGGUGCGCUUCAUUUCGUUGUCGCCUUCAAAAUAGGCCACUUUCGGACGCCAUGUACGCGCUUCUUCAUCAGACAUGGUGACGAAGCUGGCGAUAAUCACAAUGUCGCCAACUUCAGCACAGUGCGCCGCCGCACCGUUCACCGAGAUGAUUCUGGAGCCGCGUUCAGCCGCAAUCGCAUAGGUUGAGAAACGUUUCCCAUUGGUCACGUUCCAGAUAUCAAUCGCUUCGUUUUCCAGAAUACCGGAGGCAUCAAGGAAAUCUUGGUCAAUGGCACAAGAACCUUCGUAGUGCAGGUCCGCCUGCGUGACUUUUACGCGGUGGAGCUUGCCUUGCAGCAUGGUGCGAAUCAUAACUUCUUUACCCUGUCGUUUACCUUGGCUAAGCAGGCGCUUGUGGCCUGCUUUGGAAAUUCUCAGGCAGUAUUGCCCGAUUUUUAACCCCUGUCUACUGGGCUAAUGUAACGCUUUGAUUAUCGAUCAGACGCGCCUGACCCAGCCAGGCGGCGGCCAGAAUCACUGCGCGUUUGCUGGUUUCCGUCAGCUCCUGCAGCGUGUCGGCAUCACGGAUUUGAAUGUCGUCGGCACGGAAGCCUUUUUCAUUCAGUUCCUGUUCGGCAAUGGCAAUAAUCUCUUGCAGCUCACGAUUACCCGCAAUCAGUUUUUCAGCGAUGCUAUUCAUCACGUUGUAUAGACCCGGCGCAAUUUUGCGCUGCUCUGCGGUCAGAUAAGCGUUACGUGAGCUGAGCGCCAGACCGUCUUUAGCGCGAAUAAUCGGCACGCCGACGAUCUCAAUGUCAUAACUCAUAUCCGCCACCAUUUUGCGGAUCAGCGCCAGUUGCUGGAAAUCCUUCUCGCCAAAGCAGGCGAUAUCCGGCUGGAUCAGGUUGAACAGCUUGCUGACGAUGGUCGAGACGCCGCGGAAAUGACCCGGACGGCUGGCGCCUUCCAGCAUGGUAGAGAGGCCGGGAACAUCAACGUACGUUUGGCCUUCCAGCCCCUGCGGGUAGAUUUCCUCAACGGCUGGCGCAAAGACAUAAUCGACUUUGCGUUUGUUCAGCUUUUCACAAUCUUCCUGCAGCGUGCGCGGAUAACGCACCAGAUCGUCCGGCCGGUCAAACUGCAUCGGGUUGACGAAAAUGCUGACGAUCACCACAUCAGCCCGGGCUUUUGCCUCAUCGACCAGCUUCAUAUGGCCGUCGUGCAGGUUGCCCAUGGUGGGAACCAGUGCGACGCGUUUACCUUCCUGACGCAGACGACGAAUAUGCUGGCGCAGCAGCGGCAGGGUUUCAAUGAUUAGCACAACAAAACUCCUUGAGUUGCUUGAUGAUCCUGCCCGAUGGCGCUGCGCUUAUCAGGCCUACAUCCGUUGAGGAUCUGUAGGCCGGAUAAGACGCGUCGCGUCGCCAUCCGGCACGGUCAGAAAAAUUAGUGAAAGCUGUGUUCUUCGCCCGGAUAAACGCCGGACUCCACUUCAGCCAUAUACUGCUGUACGGCGGCGCGCAUGUCGCCCGCCUCGGCAAGGAAAUUUUUCGCGAAUUUGGGAAUAUGGCCGCCGGUGAUGCCAAACGCAUCGUGCAUCACCAGGAUCUGACCGUCGGUGACGUUGCCUGCGCCGAUGCCGAUCACCGGAAUCGACAGCGCUUCCGUGACGCGCUUCGCCAGCUCAACCGGCACGCACUCCAGCACCAGCAGUUGAGCGCCAGCCGCUUCUAAAGCCAGCGCGUCAUCCAGCAGCACUUGCCCUGCAUCGCCGCGGCCCUGAAUUUUAUAGCCGCCGAAGAUAUUCACCGACUGUGGCGUUAGCCCCAGAUGACCACAAACCGGCACGGCGCGUUCGGUGAGCAUUUUCACCGUAUCAACCAGCCAGGCGCCGCCUUCAAUUUUGACCAUAUUGGCCCCCGCACGCAUCACGAUAGCCGCGUUUUCACAUGCCUGUUCCGGGGUGGCGUAAGCCAUAAACGGCAGGUCGGAGAGCAAUAGACAGUUGGGCGCGCCACGUCGCACGGCACGAGUGUGGUAAGCGAUAUCUUCCACGGUGACCGGCAGGGUGGAGUCGUGCCCCUGAAUCGUCAUGCCCAGUGAGUCGCCAACCAGCAUCACAUUGAUACCUUCGUCGGCAAAUAACUUAGCGAAGCUGUAGUCGUAGGCGGUAAUUGUCGCGAAGCGUUUUUUCUCUUGCUUGCAUUUCUGCAGCAGUGAAAUGGUGGUGGGUUUCAUAACGUUUCCUGAUGGUAAAAGUUAUAUUUCCCGGCAUUCUAACAGUCAUAUUCAGGGGGGCAAUUGAUUUAAGCAAUCGUUUGGCGCUAAAGCAGUAAACGCUAAAGGGGAGGCGAUGUUUUACCAGUGGGCGGGUUUUGCAGCACCAAGAUGGGUGAGAUGCUGAUGCAGGCUGAUACCAUCCGGAAAGAUCAGAUCAGGAGCGAUUUCGAAUAACGGCCACAGCAUAAAACCGCGGUUUUUCAUGUCGUAGUGCGGCACGGUCAGAUGGUCGGUGUUAAUGACUUCAUCGCCAAACAGCAUAAUGUCGAGAUCCAGCGUGCGCGGCCCCCAGCGUUCGGCCUUGCGCACCCGGCCCUGUUGCAGCUCAAUGCGCUGGGUAUGGUUAAGCAAUUCUUCGGGGGCGAGAGCGGUAUCCAGCGCCACCGCAGCGUUCAGGUAAUCGGGCUGAUCCUGUGGGCCAAGCGGCGGCGUGCGGUAAAACGAAGAAACCGCGACGAUACGGCUAUCGGGAAUGUCGGCGAUAGCCUUCAGGGCGGCAUUGACCUGCUCCAGCGGAGAGGCCAGAUUACUGCC